GACGAACGCUGGCGGCGUGCUUAACACAUGCAAGUCGAACGGAAAGGCCCUGCUUUUGUGGGGUGCUCGAGUGGCGAACGGGUGAGUAGCACGUGAGUAACCUGCCCUUGACUUUGGGAUAACUUCAGGAAACUGGGGCUAAUACCGGAUAGGAGCUCCUGCUGCAUGGUGGGGGUUGGAAAGUUUCGGCGGUUGGGGAUGGACUCGCGGCUUAUCAGCUUGUUGGUGGGGUAGUGGCUUACCAAGGCUUUGACGGGUAGCCGGCCUGAGAGGGUGACCGGCCACAUUGGGACUGAGAUACGGCCAGACUCCUACGGGAGGCAGCAGUGGGGAAUAUUGCACAAUGGGCGGAAGCCUGAUGCAGCAACGCCGCGUGCGGGAUGACGGCCUUCGGGUUGUAAACCGCUUUCGCCUGUGACGAAGCGUGAGUGACGGUAAUGGGUAAAGAAGCACCGGCUAACUACGUG
Molecule: ribosomal RNA, 467 nt
Filed under: uncultured bacterium
Lineage: Bacteria
Description: partial 16S ribosomal RNA
Rfam family: Bacterial small subunit ribosomal RNA
Source: RNAcentral